RNAcentral lists this ribosomal RNA (497 nucleotides) under uncultured bacterium. RNAcentral's name for it is "partial 16S ribosomal RNA". It matches the Rfam family "Bacterial small subunit ribosomal RNA", at positions 28 to 507 of the family's 1533-position model. The record is from RNAcentral.
GAUGAACGCUGGCGGCGUGCCUAAUACAUGCAAGUCGAGCGAACAGACGAGGAGCUUGCUCCUCUGAUGUUAGCGGCGGACGGGUGAGUAACACGUGGAUAACCUACCUAUAAGACUGGGAUAACUUCGGGAAACCGGAGCUAAUACCGGAUAACAUGUUGAACCGCAUGGUUCAACAGUGAAAGACGGUCUUGCUGUCACUUAUAGAUGGAUCCGCGCCGCAUUAGCUAGUUGGUAAGGUAACGGCUUACCAAGGCAACGAUGCGUAGCCGACCUGAGAGGGUGAUCGGCCACACUGGAACUGAGACACGGUCCAGACUCCUACGGGAGGCAGCAGUAGGGGAUCUUCCGCAAUGGGCGAAAGCCUGACGGAGCAACGCCGCGUGAGUGAAGAAGGUCUUCGGAUCGUAAAACUCUGUUAUUAGGGAAGAACAAAUGUGUAAGUAACUAUGCACGUCUUGACGGUACCUAAUCAGAAAGCCACGGCUAACUACGUG